AAUGUUUUAGGUUAAAAAAACCUAUAGCCUUCAAAGCUAUAAUUGAGCCCCCUACUCAAACAUUA
Molecule: transfer RNA, 65 nt
Filed under: Tesseropora rosea
Lineage: Eukaryota; Metazoa; Arthropoda; Thecostraca; Balanomorpha; Tetraclitidae
Description: tRNA-Trp
Source: RNAcentral